UCCGCUGAAAAUUAAGAAAAGAAUUAAGCGGAAGAAAAGAAAAUAACAAUGAUUCCUGUAGUAACCGUGAGUGAAAAAGGAUAAGCUCAAAGUGGAAAAUCUUUUAUAUAUAAAGGCUGGGCCCCCCACGUGUCCCACUAAUGUAUAUAUACACAUAUGGUGCGGGGCUGGGUGUAGUGUUUUGGCUUUACAAAAGAAUUGUCACUUUUAUAUAAUGAAAGAUGAUUUAUAUAUACAUAUAUAUUUAAUUAUAUAUAUAAAUAUAUACUUGGUAAUAUCAUUAAACUUCCUAAAGAAUUUUUAAAAGUACAUAUAUACAUAUAUAUUAUUAUAUAACGAAAUAUGCAGGAGCGCACUUCCAUAGAGGGUGAAAGACCCGUAGUUUAUAAAUAUAUAAAUAUAUAACAAAGAGGGGGAAGAAGAACGGUUGAAGUUGAAUUGAUUUUCCUUAUCGCCUUUUCUUAUCUCUUUAUUUCUUUUUGGAAAUCUUUCAUUUUCGAGUCGUGUUCGAUGAGAUUGGGACACUAAUACGUGUGAUUAAACAAUUUCACAUAAAGCUAAAUAUAUAUAGGAGACCGAUAGCAAACAAGUACCGUAAGG
This 600-nucleotide non-coding RNA is filed under the name Plasmodium gonderi. Its description in RNAcentral is "Eukaryotic large subunit ribosomal RNA". It matches the Rfam family "Eukaryotic large subunit ribosomal RNA", at positions 24 to 358 of the family's 3401-position model. The record is from Rfam by way of RNAcentral. Lineage: Eukaryota; Apicomplexa; Aconoidasida; Haemosporida; Plasmodiidae.